This 501-nucleotide ribosomal RNA is filed under the name uncultured Thermanaerovibrio sp. RNAcentral's name for it is "bacterial SSU rRNA". It matches the Rfam family "Bacterial small subunit ribosomal RNA", at positions 889 to 1382 of the family's 1533-position model. The record is from RNAcentral. Lineage: Bacteria; Thermotogati; Synergistota; Synergistia; Synergistales; Synergistaceae.
CCGCUCAGAAACUUAAAGGAAUUGACGGGGGCCCGCACAAGCGGUGGAGCACGUGGUUUAAUUCGAUGCAAACCGGAGAACCUCACCUGGGUUUGACAUGUACGUGGUACGGAUCUGAAAGGUGAAGGACGGGUACCUUCGGGUACCGAGCGUACACAGGUGCUGCAUGGCUGUCGUCAGCUCGUGUCGUGAGAUGUGGGUUAAGUCCCGCAACGAGCGCAACCCUACGCUGAGUUACCAGCACGUAAAGUGGGGACUCUCAGUGGACUGCCGGCGACAAGCCGGAGGAGGUGGGGACGACGUCAAGUCAUCAUGGCCCUCAUGUCCAGGGCGACACACGUGCUACAAUGGCCGGCACAACGGGAAGCGACGGCGCGAGUCGUAGCGGAUCCCUCAAAGCCGGUCCCAGUUCGGAUUGCAGUCUGCAACUCGACUGCAUGAAGCCGGAAUCGCUAGUAAUCGUGGAUCAGCCAAGCCGCGGUGAAUACGUUCCCGGGCCUU